Non-coding RNA from Equus caballus (horse), 6343 nucleotides. The record is from RefSeq and is a predicted model, not a curated record. NCBI's taxonomy places the organism in Eukaryota, Metazoa, Chordata, Mammalia, Perissodactyla, Equidae.
UCCGUUUUCUAUCUGCCUAAGAGAGCUGGGUGGUGCGGGGGUGGGGGGACACACAGUGCUCUGGAUGUGGGGAAGUGGACCCAGGAGGGAGGAGGUGAGGCUGGGUCUCUGGGGCUUUGUCUAGGGCUUGUCUCUUUGGGGACCCUGAGCUUCAGAGUGGAGUCACUGUGGCACUUCCAGGCCAGGCGGGGGCAGGAUGGUGGUCAUGGCUGAGCAGGGGCCCAUCCAGCCAUCCAUCCUAGAGGGUGGGGGAGGGGGUGGGCAUCAGGGGUGUUGCCCGGCCUGGGACACUGAACUAGAGGAGUGGGGAGACUGGCGGCAGGGACAGUAGCCGCUUCCCCUCCUGCCCAGGGGACCCACAGUGUCCUCUUGCUGGAAGUGGCCCGGACUCUGUUGUCUCCCUGAUUCUCAUCCGGAAACCUCUGCACUGCCCCGAGGAAGGCCCUCUCUUGGGGCUCUGCUUUUCUGGGGGCACACCUGUGCAGACCCUGACCCGUGGCAGAGUCAGGCGGGGGGCUCUGGGGUAUCUGCUGGGGAAGUGUCACUGUGGCCAGUGUCACUACUUCCCCCUCCCCACCGCUGGGAGGAUCUGGUUCAUGGUCAGGCCCUGGCGCCCAGGCUUUGGGUGGGAGAGAUCGCCCCACAUCUCCCCUACCACCGGCUGGGGCCUGGACCACCUCGGCCCGGUGAUAGAAAUUGCACCUUCCAACACUUCCUCGCAUUUCUCCAGCGCUGCCCUGGCUGGGGGCGUCCUGGGAGGAGACCAGGGGGUGCAGGGUGAGUUUGGGGACGGGGAGCAGAUCUCUGAGCAGGCACGAGAAGAAGCUCUAGGAUGUUGGGCAGAAAAGGAAGAUUCAACCAUGGUCAAGUGAGUUAACCUUGCUCUGUCGUGACCUUAUGGGCAGCCGUGAGGACCUGGAGAUGCCGCACCUGGUGUGUACUUCGUGUUCAAGGAAAGUGUGGUGUUAUCAGUAUCGGAGAGUGGCCUCUCAUGACCUUGUCUCACCCCCUCACUUCUCACGGGGGAAACCAAGGCUCAGAGAGGGCGUGGGCCCUCUCCUGGGUCACACAGCGCUCAGAGACGGCUGGGCCGGCGCCUCCCCAGGGUGGGUCCCUUGGGGCAGCCUCCAUUGUGCUCUCCCCAGCAGGAAACGCUGUGCUCAGCAGCCUGGGCAGAGAGAGAAGAGGAACAAGUUUGACUACGUGACCGGGAGGCCCUGGAGGCUGAGCUAGGCCCAGUGCCUGGAAAACAACCUGCCGGGGGGGCCCCCUGGGCAGGGCAGUGGGGUGGGCACCAGGAUGGAAACCUCCCUGCCUAGAGAGGGAGAAGUGGGCUGAGAUGUGGCCUUACGCUGGGGAGGUGCUGGGUGGCGGCCUCAGGGCCCUGUGCGCCAAACCCGCCAGCAAGGGGGCAGCUGGUCGGUCCUCCGAUGCUCCCCAACACAUGGCUGCUCAGGGGAGGGGCGGGCACGGGGAUGGGCAGAGGGGCCGAUGGGUACGUGUGGCACCUGGGGGCGAUUUGCACAGGCUGCUGGCCUGCUCAUCCGCUCCAGUUACAGAGAUUUGUGUGCGCAAGCAAGCGGCGGGAGGGCUCGGCCCCCAAGAGGCCCAGUGCCCAGGGAGACAAGGCCCAAGGGAAGAGAGCUGGGCCUCUGCUGGGAUGCCCACCACAGGACCUGGAGAAAUGUAGAGUCCCUCUCUGGGCCUAGUUCCCCUUGGGGACCCGUGAAACCACUGUGUCCCUCACUUCUAGACGAGACACAGGGCUGACCUGGGGCUGGGAAGCCAGCUGUGAGGAGCAGGCUGCGUAGCGUGUAGGCCCAGGUGGUCUGUGGCGUGGACGGUCACUGCGGGGAGGACACUGAAUGCCAGAGCAAGCAGCCAGGACUUAUCAGGAGGCCAAGUGGAGCCACUGAAGCAUUCAGCACAAGGGUGGGUGGUGGUCAGAUGAGGCUGCUGGGAGGGGCCAGACUGGAGGCUGGGAGGCCCGAGGGGAGGCCACAGCUCGAGCAGCAGUGGGGGGAUGGGGUCAGGAAAAGUUGGGAGGGGACAUGGUUUCCUGGAGGCUGAGUGGGUGAAAUUGAAAGUGCAGACCCUGGUGGCGGCUGUCGGGUCCACUCCUGGCUCCUGCUCCAGCCGCGCGAUGUCCUGACGGUCUGGAAAACCCCCUGCGUCUUGUUCUUUGUACGUAAAACAAAAGCGAGGUUGGAACGGGUUCAGAACAGAGAAACCCCUUGCCUCUCUCUCUGGACAUCCCAGCGCCAAAAGCUCUGGCCAGAGGAUGCUCAGAGUCGGGCAACAGGGCGCAAGGAGGCAGGGAAUAUGCACAGCACGAGGAGGCAGAGCUGUCACCUGGACAGCAGGGAGGCUGGCGGGCGAGGAAGCAGGUAUCCCUUGGGGCAGGGGCCCAGGGGCCCAAGGUGGUCCUGUGAGCUGGAGACGGCAGGCAUUGGGCAGAACCUCAACUGGGGGGCCUGAACCCCAAUUGGUGUCAUUAGGGGAGCCAGCUGUGCAGCCGUGAGCCAUUGCUUAAGGAAAUGAAACUCGGGGAGGCGGCAGGAAUAAAACAUCCUGUCUGGAUGACGAGAAUGCCACAGGGCCAGCCACAACCCUCCGCUUCGCUGCUGGUCUCUUCUGCAGCUGCUGCCCCCCCAGGCUGUGAUCCCCAACUUCUCCCCACUCCUCUGCCCUCUGAGAGAUGGGGACAGGUGCCCCACAGGAUGGAUAUCUCUCCGCUGACCACACGUCCCCUUGGACUCUCUCUAAGCCUGGUUUCCUCAUCUGUAAAAUGGGGCUAUAAUGAUGCUUGCCCCAGAGGGUCAAUGGGAGGAAUAAAUUAAACCACGUGCAAGGGGGCAUGGCAUAUACAAAGCGCCUGGGACUUCUGGCUGCUGGUGUGAUCUGGUGUCACACCACACAGGGGCCCUGAGAGGCAGAGACACUCUGCACAUCGUACAGAAGAGGAAAACUGGGGCACGGCGAGUUGAAGGGAUGUGCCCAUGAUCACACUGCAGUUCUAACCACAUAGCUCCCCAGCCUGGGUUCUUGCCAUGGUGCUGCCUGGCAGUGUGGAAGGGAAUGGGUGGGAGUAGAUUGGGUGCAGUGUCCACAUACCCUUCACCCGGGCCCCAGCGCCCUCCUCCUCUCUCUCCUGGCCCGUCUCCCCACCCCUGCCAAAGGCAGGCCCUCAGAGGGCUCAGGUCUGCAGCCCCAUGAGCAUCCCUUUCUGACUCCCGCGUCCCUCCUUGGGCUACAGUGCCUCUCUUAGGUCUAACCUGAGUCCUCCCCGUGUUAGCUAUGGCCCGCUUCCCCCCAACCUGCCUUGUGGGCUGGCAAAUGGCAGCCACUCUUAUUGAGAUGCACCCCCGGCCCCCUGAUGCAGAAAAGAGGUCACCAACCCCUUCUCCAGGGCAUCGUCCUUUCUGGCCCAGGGGUCCCCUGAAGCUCUACCAGCCUCCCCGGCAGGAGGAGCCGCAGCUCCUCAGACUCAGAGAAGUCACCGUGAGCCCAAGAGAGAAAUCAGGCAGAGCAGGAAAUCAGACAUCUGGUUCUGAGCAAAGGUCCAGAGCCCUAUUCCUCCAGCUAGCACUUCUGGUGCCUAAAUCCAGCAGGGCAAGAGUAUAAGAUGCCAAGUGGGGCCAGGCAGGAGCCAGCUUCCCCAGCACACCUGGCCAGGUGAGCAGGCGGUGGAGCCAAGAGCCAGCUCAUCGCUUGGGUGUAAACAGCAGCCCAGUGGGAAGUUGGCAGCCACCUCCUGUGCCCUUUCCCCAGCCCCGUCCCCACGAGCCCCACCCCAGGGAAAGAGGGUGUCCCAACUUGUUGGAGGAGUUUCCAUCUCACAGCUGUGUCCAUACCGGGUGGGUGUGUGGGGUGGCUGAAGGGGCCCACAGACAAUCUUUGUCCUCCAGACCCACCCCCUUCUUCUCUGGUGCUGGGACGGCGCCAGGGUUCUUGGAAUGCCGAGGCCCCCCUUGCACCCACCCCACCCCAGAUGCCUCUGCCACUCACUCCCAGGGCCCACGCCAGCAGAGCAGAGCAAGGGCAGUCUGUGAGCAGGAUCGUGCCCUGAGGGGGGUGCCCCUUGGCUCCUGUUCCCACCAGAUGGGAGCCGUAUCCCUUGGAAGAAAGGGUGCAGCUCCAAGGUGUCCAGAAGGAGGAAGAAAACAAGUCUCCAUCAAGCCCUGCAUUUUACAGACAUGAUCUGGGAGAUGGGGAUUGCCACCCCUACUUUAAAGAUGGGGAAACUAAGGCUAGACCAGCAGUUGUAUGAGGGCUUGGACUCUCUCUGCCUUGUUUUCCCCUGUCUCCCUGGUACCUGGCACACAGCAAGAGCUCAUGGUGUGCUUGUGGAGUGGAUGAAUGAGGCUCAGAGAGGGCAAGUGACCUGGCCAGAAAGUUGCUCAACGGGGAAUCAACCCAGUUUGAAUCCUAAAGCCAGGCUGUUCCUGAGACCCACCCACUGAGGUGGGGUAGCACUCGUGCAUGCAUGAAUGUGCACCCACCCUGCUGUGAGAGUCCUGUCCACGCUCAUAUACACACCUACACUCACAGCCCUCAGCCGAGAGCCCCCACCUGCCACCCCACUCAAGCCCAGUGGUGGGCCCUCUCCCACCCCCUGCCACCUCUGGCAGGCACUCAAACUUCCUUCUGCACUGGUCUCACACCCUCCUCUGUCACCACCCCCCUCCUCCACUCCUGGAGAAGGCAGGAUGGUGCAUGCCCUCUUCCACCCCCACAGCCCUGGCGCCCUGGCGCCCUGUCUUCCUCCUCAGGCCCCAGUAGCCACACUGGCACCACUGCGCUGGAGAAGACUGGGGAAGCACAGAACGUCAGAGCAGGGGCGCAAUGUGCAGACGGACGGUCAGCCUCGGGCCAAGGACCGGGCAGCAUGAGGGCCACCGUGGUAGAGCUGGUACCCAGGCAGAGUCGGGGGCCUGGCUGUCUGCAGGGCAGUUCCAAGACUGGGGGCCACCUCCCUGCUGUGUCACAAGGUCGAGCCCCAGGGAGCAGCUGACACUGCAGACCUGAAGGACCAGAACCUCUUCCUGCUUUGCGCAACCCCAGACCUGCUGGGGGGUCAGCUGGGGUCUCAGGUCUCCAGGCAAGGGGGCCGGGGACUCUCUCCAAAGCAGGUUGAACCUGCCGUGUGGCCCUCCUGCUUCCCCACUAAUAAAGGGCCCACAGGGCAGGGGUGGUCAGGGAGGCAGGGACCCCUGCAAGUACAGAUGGCACGUGCCAGACUACGCUUGAGACCCUCCUCAGUUUUUCACUGACCCUCACAGCAACCCUGGGAGACAGGCACUAAUUUAUCUUAGGUACCAAUAUCAUUCCCAUUUUCGAGAGGGGUAAACCCAGUCCCAGAGAGUUAAGGCACCCGACCAGGGCCCCCAAUUCCUGGCAAACAAGAGGCGUUUGCUAAGUAUUUGUUGAGUGGAUGAAGUCGAGGGGGGAGUGACUCGCUCAAGAGCAUCAGCAGAGUCAGAUCUGAACCCAGGUCUGACCCCGAAGCCCCUUGGUUUCUCUGCCUCGACUGAACUCUGCAGCCUUGGGACCGACGGACAAGCACAGCUGACAUAUUUACCCCUCACGGGCAUCAUGAGAUGUGACCAGCUUUCCGGGGCUCCACGCUGUUUCCUUUCACCCCGAGAAAGGCAAAAGCAGCCCCUGACAGCCAGGAGCCGGCCUGGCCCUCCCAGCUAGGCCACGGUGUGCUCCUGUGGAGCACAAAAAAUUUCACAGAUCACCAGCAUCAGACAAGGCCACUCGAUGACUGUGAUGGAUUAAGACAAAAAACAAGACCGCUCUGUAAUCGUGUCUGAACACAGACAAAAAAAUGAACGUGGUCCAAACCACAAAAAUGAUUGAAUGUCCCUUUAUCCUGGCUAAAUGAGUGACAGCUGCUUCUUUGCCAAUCACAGCUUUAGCUUCAAUUCAUCCCACUUCCCUUCUAGACUAAAAUGAUGACGGUACCCAAUCACAGAAUCACCCCUGCUUUGUGAUGGCAUCCAACCCAGAGCAAAGCUCCUCUCCCUGGAGCCGUCCUCCCCAGGAGCACCUGACGCCAGCCUGAGUCCCUUCCAGCCCUUCCUCGCCCCCUCGCUGGGGCGCCCCGCAGUUUCUUGAGGACGCCUACCACAGCAUGGCUUGCCAAGCGGUUCCACAUCCACACCCGGGACCCGAACCAGCAAACCCCAGGCUGCUGAAGCCGAACGUGGAAACAAGACACCAAAAGCAAGAAUCAGCACAAAAAAGGGCAACAGAAAUAAUAAGUAUGCGACAUGUGGAAGUGUUAGCUAGUCUUGCGCUGGUAAUCACAUUGCAAUAAAUGAAUGUAUCAAAUCGA